UCUCAAUUCCUUGAUUUUAUUCGGAUAAUUGACUUCUUUUUCUUUUCUUUUCGCAAUUGCUGUGGCUGUAUCUCUUCAUCUCUUUGAGCUCGUCGCUGGCACAAUUAGAUACUUGAGAUGCUGGUGGACGAGGCAAAAAUCUUGCUAGGCUUUUCCACUAAUUCUUGCCCCACUCCUUGUCAGGUCAAAGCUGCUUAUAGAAGGAAGGUAUGGGAAACUCAUCCGGAUUGCUUUCCAGUUCAUCUCAAACCUGGUGCAGAACUCAAAUUUAAGAUGAUUUCAGAAGCAUACACUUGCCUGCUUUCUGGCUGCCAUUUUGCCAAAUAUGCAGUAACCCGAAUUUCUAGGGUGGCAAACACUAAAUUUUGCCCCAAGAUAAAUAUGGUACAAGACAGGAAGGUCAACAUGGUGUUGGAUAUUCACGUGUUGUAAGAAGUGGAGUUCCUAGAGGAGGGAGGAAAAAUCAUCCACUGAUUGGGAUUCCCUUUCUUUUUAUUAUUUUGGGAACUGUAACAUUGGGAGGAACAAAUGUUGCCAGGGCCUACAGAAAACAGAGGGCGGAUUGUCCUUCUCAUAAUCCUUUUCUCCCUUGAUUAUUCGAAGUUUCUGCAACAUUGUGUACGUAGUGGCAUGGUAUGUACAGAUAUGGUGCGGCGUUAGUCCUCUAUGAAAAUGUAGCUGAUCCAAUAAACUUCAAUGAGUCUCAUUCGCAGCACGUGUUAAGUUGUGUUUGUGAACUUUCAAAUGUAAUUCUGAAGUUGUUCAUUAUGUAAAUUAGAUGAUAGUUUAGGUGAAGGAUGCUUUCAAAGUGAAAAAUGUUAGUCUUUGUUCCAAUUUGUCUCUGUAUCACAUGAAAAGAGGAAGAGCAAUUAGAACAGAGCAUGACAUGUGAUAAAACCCCAUAAUAUCGGGUUGAUUCGGUUUUUAUCAAAAUCUAACCAAACCAACUAUAUGGAUUGGUUCGGCUUUGUCGGGUUUUUCGGAA
This is a non-coding RNA of Nicotiana tabacum (common tobacco), 985 nucleotides long. Lineage: Eukaryota; Viridiplantae; Streptophyta; Magnoliopsida; Solanales; Solanaceae. The record is from RefSeq and is a predicted model, not a curated record.